GGGCUCUCCGGCGCCGGCCCUCCGAUGGCUAAGUCAGUCAAGGGUCUGUAUGAGGAAAGAAAGAGUGAGACAGAAAGAAGAACCCCCGCCUUAAGUGGAGGAAUUCCCCUUUUAUAGGGAGGAUCAGGCUACCUGUGAUGUGACAGAGCAAAUUGGUUGUCGUACAAUUGGUCAUCAAUGCUUGUUCAUGUAAGUCAAUGCUAUCAUGGUAGGAGAUUAGGCCGGAGCCUGUCG
RNAcentral lists this long non-coding RNA (234 nucleotides) under Phoenix dactylifera (date palm). RNAcentral describes it as "long non-coding RNA (PDAC_LNC004594)". Lineage: Eukaryota; Viridiplantae; Streptophyta; Magnoliopsida; Arecales; Arecaceae. The record is from RNAcentral.